GGCAGUUCUCAGGUGACACACCCCAAAAUCAGGCUCCCUCCUCUCUGGUUCUGGGGUGCAUCACCCAAUAACCACC
Molecule: non-coding RNA, 76 nt
Organism: Myotis brandtii (Brandt's bat)
Lineage: Eukaryota; Metazoa; Chordata; Mammalia; Chiroptera; Vespertilionidae
Source: Rfam